RNAcentral lists this ribosomal RNA (244 nucleotides) under uncultured bacterium. Its description in RNAcentral is "partial 16S ribosomal RNA". It matches the Rfam family "Bacterial small subunit ribosomal RNA", at positions 32 to 258 of the family's 1533-position model. The record is from RNAcentral.
AAUCAACGCUGGCGGCGUGCCUAACACAUGCAAGUCGAACGCGAAAGGGGCUUCGGCCCUGAGUAGAGUGGCGAACGGGUGAGUAACACGUGGGUGAUCUACCUUCGAGUGGGGGAUAACGUUCCGAAAGGAACGCUAAUACCGACAUGACGUUCUGGGUUUGAAGACCUGGAAACCAAAGCCGGGGACCGCAAGGCCUGGCGCUAGACGAGGAGCCCGCGCCUGAUUAGCUAGUUGGCGGGGU